AUUGAACGCUGGCGGCAGGCCUAACACAUGCAAGUCGAGCGGAUGAAGGGAGCUUGCUCCUGGAUUCAGCGGCGGACGGGUGAGUAAUGCCUAGGAAUCUGCCUGGUAGUGGGGGAUAACGUCCGGAAACGGGCGCUAAUACCGCAUACGUCCUGAGGGAGAAAGUGGGGGAUCUUCGGACCUCACGCUAUCAGAUGAGCCUAGGUCGGAUUAGCUAGUUGGUGGGGUAAAGGCCUACCAAGGCGACGAUCCGUAACUGGUCUGAGAGGAUGGUCAGUCACACUGGAACUGAGACACGGUCCAGACUCCUACGGGAGGCAGCAGUGGGGAAUAUUGGACAAUGGGCGAAAGCCUGAUCCAGCCAUGCCGCGUGUGUGAAGAAGGUCUUCGGAUUGUAAAGCACUUUAAGUUGGGAGGAAGGGCAGUAAGUUAAUACCUUGCUGUUUUGACGUUACCAACAGAAUAAGCACCGACUAACUUCGUG
This 484-nucleotide ribosomal RNA is filed under the name uncultured bacterium. RNAcentral's name for it is "partial 16S ribosomal RNA". It matches the Rfam family "Bacterial small subunit ribosomal RNA", at positions 30 to 507 of the family's 1533-position model. The record is from RNAcentral.